Molecule: long non-coding RNA, 599 nt
Filed under: Lupinus mutabilis
Lineage: Eukaryota; Viridiplantae; Streptophyta; Magnoliopsida; Fabales; Fabaceae
Description: partial ncRNA
Source: RNAcentral
AUGGAUAUAAAAGAUGAAAAUGAAUAAAGGGUAUAGUAAUGAAAAUAGUUAUAAGUAUUAUUAUGAAUAUUUAUAAAGAAGUUUAUGAAGGGUCCCCAUGUGAGGAAGAAAGGAAAAUCACAAGAGAGAAAGGUGAUCUAAACAGAAGUGACGCAAGAAACACAGUCACCAAACUUAAGCAACUAUCCUUUCUGUUUACCUCGAAUGGAUUCUCAGUAAUGUUGGACCACACCUAUAUUAAGGAGUUUCCGGGAAAGUUUGCAGCUUUUAUGUUUUGGUUCUAAAACUUUGAUCAUGUUGUUGUGGCUCCUACUCCAAGGAAAUCAAUAAAUGGAGGUGUAGAAAUUGCAUCUGCAGGGGGGUCACUGCUCAUUACUGCUUCAUUAUCUCUAUGUUCUGCCAUGCCUGAUAAUGAAAGUUCACUGGCUAACAUCACUGAGACUGUGGAAUUUGAUGCCAAACUGUAAAAAUUGUUGUAAUUUUGAUGUUGCAUUGGCAUUAGGUAUGUGUUAAAAUGAGGAGUUGCUGCAUCAUUUGCUUUGUUGUCCCAGUAUGUUGUUUGGCUAUUGCUUCUACCACCUGAAAUCCCAACCAAGUGG